GAACGAGGUCACAGGAAUUUUUCUCUGAUCGUACAGGCAUAAAACGCGAGUCCGGCCUACGAUUUACUGAACACUUUUCGAUAGAGGAUCCCCUGGCAACAACUGAGCGUCAGCUAAUCCGUAGCAUAACAAAAAAAAAAGCAUGCAGCUGAAAGUGAUCCUUGUGGGCUUGGCCAUUUUUGGUCUCAUUAUGGCAGAGAGCAAUGCCAUGCAGGGCAGCAGCUCCAGUGAAGCCGAGGCCAGGGCUGACCCCGAGAGUGCUGAGCGUGCCGAGCCGAACAAUGCCGAGGAGGCACGUAUCGGCGAAGCAUGCAUGGCUUCCCUGUGCGGGUAGUGACUUGAUGCCAGAGAGCGAGACGUUCGAAAGACUGUCUCUCGCAACAGUUGCAUGAAUACG
Long non-coding RNA from Dermacentor silvarum, 397 nucleotides. RefSeq lists it as uncharacterized. Lineage: Eukaryota; Metazoa; Arthropoda; Arachnida; Ixodida; Ixodidae. The record is from RefSeq and is a predicted model, not a curated record. The transcript has 3 exons.